This is a long non-coding RNA of Eriocheir sinensis (Chinese mitten crab), 1631 nucleotides long. RefSeq lists it as uncharacterized. NCBI's taxonomy places the organism in Eukaryota, Metazoa, Arthropoda, Malacostraca, Decapoda, Varunidae. The record is from RefSeq and is a predicted model, not a curated record. The transcript has 3 exons.
GCGAAGAUCUUCUCCACGUGGAACUGAUUGCCCAGGUCGUAGUUGAUGGAGAAGGAACCUCCGGCGGGCAGGUCGCUGGUGUCCGCCGGGUCGUGGGGCUGAACGGCGCUACCUGUAAGGACGAGGACGCGAUAAGGACCAAUGAGGAGCCUGGAAAGCGUUAUAUGACCGCAAAUCAGCCAAUGAGAAUGAAGAACGUCCCCGGGGCAAGAUGAGGCUAAGCAUGUACUCAACUCCCUCUGCCACUGUUGCCAGAUUAUCGUACUCAGAGUAUCGCAUAUACGGAUUCUUUACAUAUAACUAUUGCCAAAAAGCAGCAAUAAUUUACCAUUUCAGCAAUAACUAUAAAUGAAUCCAGUUAUUGGGGUGGAGAAGACAGUUUUUGGGUAGCAAGUCGGCAAAUGUUAGAGGCUGAGUACGACAAUCUGACACGGUUGCCCUCUGCCCGAAGCCCCACGUGGGAGGCGGCGGAGUGACGAGUGUUGUUUUGAGUGCAAGUUUUACGCGGCGGUGACGGCUGAGUGACGGGCCAUGCAUUCAGAUGUCUUCCUGAAUGCCCCAAGAAGACGAGGUGGUGAAGGGAGCGAGGCAGGCAGCGGAGGACGUGAAGGAGAGGAGGAAGAAGAGGAGGGUGGUGAUGGAGCUGCUGAUGAGAAGGAGAUGGGGGCACAGAUUCAAGGGCCAGCUGGAGGAUCACACUGGGCUAACCUUAACACUGAACUCGACGCUAUGAACUCUGUGCCCUGACUGAACCCUGAAGUGUGGGUCUGGGAUAACCACUACAAGAACCAACAGUAAGGAAAUUGAACACCGAGGAAAAUAAAUAUUACUUGAACUUUGGACUGUAAAAAAACAAUAAAAUAGUCGAGAAACACAAACUAGCAAGACAUAGAAUAGCUAAGUAAUAAAAUAAUGAGAAGGAAAAAGGAAAAAAAUAGGAGAGACGACGAAGGCAGAUCUCCACAGCUUACUACUACUACUACUACUACUACUACUACUACUACUACAACCUCCACUACCACCAAGGCUCCACAUCAGCUCCCCCCAACGUCCGUGUGAAAGGUAAGGAACAUAAUGUAUUUCCUGACCCCCUGACAAACGCAUCUACUAUAUUGCUCUACCGCCCGGGGCCACAAUCUUCGGUAGCGGGGCCAAGGAUGUCGUGAAUGAAUAGCUCUUUACCAUUGUAGUAUUGUAGCGGCGAUAGGACGUCCCUGGGCCAUGAGGGGAGGAAGGGUGCCGCUGGGAAAGUGACGGAGGGUGGGGAGGAAAGCGAGGGAGGGAAUGUGGGGCGAGGAAAGGGCGCUGGGAAAGUGUUCAGGUGGGGAGAGUGUUAGGAAAGAUAUGGAUGGUUGGGAGAAGAGAAGGGGGGAAAGGGGUGAGAAGGGGUGCCUUGAAAGAGGAGCGUGGGGAGAAGAGGGGGUAAAGAAAGGGUUGAGGAAGGGGUGUUAGGAAAGAUAUAGAGGAUGGGGAGAAGAGGAGGAAGGAAAAGGUGAGGAAUGUGUGCUUUGAAAGAGGAAGAUAGGGAGAAGAAGGGGAAGAAAAGGGAUGAUAAAGGGAAGAAAAGGGAAGGAAAAAGAAGAGGAGAGGAAAAAGGAAAAGAGUGAAAAGGGAGCAACAGGAAAGAGAGA